Molecule: ribosomal RNA, 253 nt
Filed under: uncultured bacterium
Lineage: Bacteria
Description: partial 16S ribosomal RNA
Rfam family: Bacterial small subunit ribosomal RNA
Source: RNAcentral
UACGUAGGGUGCGAGCGUUAAUCGGAAUUACUGGGCGUAAAGCGUGCGCAGGCGGUUCUCCAAGUCCGUUGUGAAAGCCCCGGGCUCAACCUGGGAAUGGCAGUGGAAACUAGGGGACUGGAAUCUGGCAGAGGGGGGUGGAAUGCCGCGUGUAGCAGUGAAAUGCGUAGAGAUGCGGCGGAACACCGAUGGCGAAGGCAGCCCCCUGGGCUGAGAUUGACUCUGAGGCACGAAAGCGUGGGGAUCAAACAGG